Erigeron canadensis is the source of this 1834-nucleotide long non-coding RNA. RefSeq lists it as uncharacterized. NCBI's taxonomy places the organism in Eukaryota, Viridiplantae, Streptophyta, Magnoliopsida, Asterales, Asteraceae. The record is from RefSeq and is a predicted model, not a curated record. The transcript is spliced from 2 exons.
UUCAACAAUCGGUUUUAGGUUGAUAGCUAUCCUUAAUGCUUGUUCAUGCUCUUCAUUUCAUGGUGCUGGGAGGGAGCAGACCACUAGCUCCAUCGCCUCUGGUUGCUGGUACUGCUCUUUUGUGCACAAUAUUGGCAUUUCAUUAUAAAUUUGUGGUUCAGUUCGUUUUCCAUGGUGAUCGAGUGAUUGUUUCCGAGUGUAACCUACCUGGUUGAUUGUCACUAUUUCGCUUUGCUACUUUCUGUAGACUGAUCAUGUCUUCAUUAUAUUAGUUUAGAUUCUGUUGAUCUAUGUGUACUGAUGCAAGGAUAGCUUCCAGGUUCUUCACUUCUAUCUUCAACAUCUAAGAAAUCCCCCGGAGGGGGACUAGCCAUGUUUUAGUUGCAUCUUGAUUUGCAAUUUUUUUUUGACGUCUUGGUCGAGCUGGUUUAUAGGUUUAAGAAACUGUGAUUUGGCCUUAUGUCAAUUGGUUCCAUGGCUGAGUGAGAUCUAGUUGAUAGUUUAUUUGAUCUAUAAGGCCUUUAAUGGCAGACCAUCUUUCAGGGCCUAUUGCUGGUAGUAUCUUAUGCUCACUUUUUAUUUGAAAGUUAUAUCUAAACUAGUGUGUCAGCGUUUAAGCCAGAGAUGAGCAUCAAGACACUUAAAGGAUUAUCCAUGUCUGCUAGACACAAAAACUAUUAUUCUGUUAGUGAUAUGUAAGAAUUGAACUAGAAGUUCUAUUUUUGUAGGUAUUGUUUAAUUUGCCGGUUCUAGUUUUUUCAGCCUUUUAUGAGUGGCUGCUGAUGUUUGGUUUCAUGUUGGUGGUCCGUUUUUGAGUAGACCUGGUUGUGGCUUUCAUUUGUUCUGAUUGGUUAUGGGUCAAAUGGUCAAUUUCGCAUAAUGUCAGUCAUGGAUAAUGUGGUCCGGUGGCAGCUUAGAAUAAGUUGAUCUUUAUGCAUGUGCUUGAUUUAUGUGGCAUCUUUUAAUGGGUUAUACAAGGAUUAACUCAGCCGGUCACAAGCCCAGAUAAAUCAUGGAGGGUUGGAAUAUUCUAUCAAAGCAUUUAUUAGAAUUUUAUGUACAUACUUGCUGCAGCUGGUAUAGCCUAGUGGGAGUAUAUUAUAUAUAAAGCAUGGAAUUAGCAGCGGAGUUCUAGGUUUUAACUGAUUUCUCCAUCUUCAUUUUUUUUCAACAGCGUUUCUUUUUAGCUUCCUUGUCAGUUGUCACAGUUACAUACAACAAAACACCCCUAGCUAUUGUUCUUCAUAGCUUACUCAAUUGGGUUGGUUCAUGUUAUGUGGGUUCAUGAUGUCCAGUUGUCGUAUGUUCUUCAUAGAUAUUGUAUUACAUUUCAGAAUGCAAGCUACUUUGAUAGGCUUUAUACAUAGAGAUAGAAGUUUUAGUAUUGCGGUGAAUUAUCGACAAUUCCAGGUUCUUGUUCUUGUAAGAUUAUUUAUAUUUCCUGAUUAUAGGAGUGUUUAUGUUGCAAAGCUGUCUGUCAUGUCAUAUCCAUCCUGUGAUCAGGUCGUGCACAAGGUAAUGGCUGGUUCCUGGGCUAGGAGUUUUUGCUAAUUGAUUGCAAGUCCGUUUGUUGGUAAGUUACAAGUAUUAUUCCAUUACAAUUAAUGGUUGAGUUGUGGUGAUAGGGUUUGUAGGUUCAAGGAAUUAGUGGUUGCGUACAAUGAUAACGUCCAGCAACGAAUUCAUGAUGUCAGAUUAUGCAUGUUAUAUUGUGGUUGGGUUUGGGUUUUGUAUUCUGCGCUAUGUUAUACAUUGCUUCAUUCCGGAAUGCCAUUCUUAUUGAUUGUUCUCACUUUUCUCGUAUGUCAUCUCUAUUUUACCUUCAUUUCUAGCA